Non-coding RNA from Anolis sagrei ordinatus, 172 nucleotides. NCBI's taxonomy places the organism in Eukaryota, Metazoa, Chordata, Lepidosauria, Squamata, Anolidae. The record is from RefSeq and is a predicted model, not a curated record.
CUUCAUUGCGUUUGAUGGAAUCUGAGAGAGAGUCCAUCCCCGAAGGUUCCUGCGCUAACCAGUUUGUGAUAUUUGAGGAUAUUCUUUGUACUGGGAUGCUUGGGAUGUGAUGGACUAUCAUUUGGAGACUAGGAAACCCAUCACGCAUCUCCGGAAACCCUUGGAAAUUGCC